UACGGAGGAUGCAAGCGUUAUCCGGAUUCAUUGGGUUUAAAGGGUGCGUAGGCGGGCUAUUAAGUCAGUGGUGAAAUCCUGCAGCUUAACUGCAGAACUGCCGUUGAUACUGAUAGUCUUGAGUUUGGUUAAGGUAGGCGGAAUGUGUAAUGUAGCGGUGAAAUGCUUAGAUAUUACACAGAACACCAAUUGCGUAGGCAGCUUACUGAGCCGACACUGACGCUGAGGCACGAAAGCGUGGGGAUCAAAC
RNAcentral lists this ribosomal RNA (250 nucleotides) under uncultured bacterium. Its description in RNAcentral is "partial 16S ribosomal RNA". It matches the Rfam family "Bacterial small subunit ribosomal RNA", at positions 524 to 773 of the family's 1533-position model. The record is from RNAcentral.